GAGAGAGAGAGAGAGAGAGAGGCAUAAUAGAGGAUUGGGCAGUGUUGAGUAUAGGCUUUAUAUCACAGAGACAGGAAAAGGGAUGGACGUGUGGCGAUGAGAGAGAGGAGGUUGAGAGUGAUUCUUUCAGUACCUGAAAACGUGUAGACCUGUGGGGCAAGGGGAGCUCUGCAUUGGACUAAAAGUUUUUUGUUGAAGAAAGAGCGAGUUAGACUGAGAGAGAGAGAGAGAAAGAGAGAGAGAGAGAGAGAUAGGGAGGAGAGGAGGGGGAAAGAGAGGGGGUUGUUAGUGAGUGAGGGCGAGUGUGUGGUUGUCUGUGAGAGAGAGACUCAGAGAGCGAGAGAGACUGCAGAGGCAACACCUGGGACACAGACUGAGAGGGAAGAAAAGCACUUCUUCCUUCUUCCUCAUCUUCUUCCUUCUUCCGUGUCUUUUGUCUUCUUCCUCAUCUUCUUCCUUCUUCCCUGUCUUCUUUCUUUGUCUCCCUUUCUUUGUUGUUUUACUUAUUGGCCCAUCUGAAGCCCGGGAGACUACCGGACAGCUAUCUGCUAGACUCUGAAGCGGUCCCACCUCACCUCUUCUGCCUGCACUGAAGAACUUCACACCAAAAAAUGCUUUGCUAAAGCUGGUAAAAUGGAACCAAAUCAACUAUUGAAUGGAUUUGGUCCCCUUCAACCAGCUGUAGCUCUGCAUUGAUCCCAACAAGACUGUCUCUCUGACCUGAGAACAGCGCUCAGAAGAGGGCAGCUAUAACAGAGACACUGUGUCAGGGAUGGACAUCACUGACCUGAGAACAGGGCUCACCAGAGGGCAGCUAUAACAGAGACACUGUAUCAGGGAUGGACAUCUCUGACCUGAGAACAGCGCUCACCAGAGGGCAGCUAUAACAGAGACACUGUGUCAGGGCACACUGAUCCAGGAGCAGAAAUGUGUGAGCACUAAAGGGAACCAUCAGACCACAACAGAGAAGGCUUAAAAUACCGUUGAACCUUUCUGUACACUAUAAGGAUAUAGAUGUGUUUGUUAUACAAUAGUCAAGGUAAGUAUUUAUUUCCUAACCAUGUAUUACUAUGUAUUACAGUAUAUAUAAUUGCUAUCCUUUGUACAUGACUGGAAGGAGAAAUGAGAGGGGGGAUGUGGAGUGCAUAAGUAAAGCAAUGGCACUCUCUCCCUCUCUCUCUCCCUCUCUUCUUUUCUCUCUCUCUCCCUCUCUCUCUCAUCAAUAAAAGCCUAUCCUGAUGUUCAUAAA
This is a long non-coding RNA of Salvelinus fontinalis (brook trout), 1249 nucleotides long. RefSeq lists it as uncharacterized. The transcript has 2 exons. NCBI's taxonomy places the organism in Eukaryota, Metazoa, Chordata, Actinopteri, Salmoniformes, Salmonidae. The record is from RefSeq and is a predicted model, not a curated record.